RNAcentral lists this ribosomal RNA (118 nucleotides) under Prolemur simus (greater bamboo lemur). The record is from RNAcentral. Lineage: Eukaryota; Metazoa; Chordata; Mammalia; Primates; Lemuridae.
AUCUAUAGCCGUACUACCUGAAUGUGCCCAAUCUCUUCUGAUCUUGGAAGCUAAGCAGGGUUGGGUCUGGUUACUACUUGGAAAGGAGAAGGAGAAAAAUAUGUGAUUUCCAGAGAUA